GACAGAGGUCCCGAGCGUUGUUCGGAUUCAUUGGGCGUAAAGGGUGUGUAGGAGGUUGGGUAAGUCAGGUGUGAAAUCUCAGAGCUUAACUCUGAAACUGCGCUUGAUACUGCUCAGCUAGAGGAUCGGAGGGGGUAACGGAAUUUAUGGUGUAGCAGUGAAAUGCGUAGAUAUCAUAAGGAACACCGGUGGCGAAGGCGGUUACCUGGAAGAUUCCUGACUCUGAAACACGAAAGCCAGGGGAUCAAACGGG
Molecule: ribosomal RNA, 253 nt
Filed under: uncultured bacterium
Lineage: Bacteria
Description: partial 16S ribosomal RNA
Rfam family: Bacterial small subunit ribosomal RNA
Source: RNAcentral